UGAUGUAAAUUCAUCACCAUCUUUCGGCUGA
This 31-nucleotide small nucleolar RNA is filed under the name Callorhinchus milii (elephant shark). Lineage: Eukaryota; Metazoa; Chordata; Chondrichthyes; Chimaeriformes; Callorhinchidae. The record is from RNAcentral.